RNAcentral lists this ribosomal RNA (2622 nucleotides) under Triticum aestivum (bread wheat). Its description in RNAcentral is "partial small subunit ribosomal RNA". Lineage: Eukaryota; Viridiplantae; Streptophyta; Magnoliopsida; Poales; Poaceae. The record is from RNAcentral.
AUGCUACAAGGAAGGAUACCAAGUUUUGCAAACUGCUCAAAGCUCAGGGUGCUGGAUGUUUCAUACAACAAUCUAGUUGGCCAAUUUCCUACUGAGUUGCCUCCUGUCCUUCAGGUGCUGCGUGUUGGGACUAAUAACCUUACUGGCACCAUCCCAGCUUCUCUUGUCAAUAUAACAACACUAACCACCAUUAGCUGCCUGAAUAAUCAAAUCAAAGGAAAUAUCCCAAGUGAGUUUGCAGAUCUGCCCAGCUUGCAGUACCUGUAUGCAGGUGGCAAUAAGCUGGCAGGCAGUUUUCCACAAGCCAUCUUGAAUCUUUCUACUCUCAUUGAACUUGACCUUGGUCUCAACGGUUUAAGUGGAGAUCUGCCACCAAAUCUCUGUACCGCUCUCCACAAUCUCCAGACACUUUUUUUGGGUGGCAACAUCUUUCUAGGCGGGCACAUUCCUAGUUCAUUAAGUAGUGCUUCCAAUCUAUACGAAGUUGAUUUUUCAGGUAACAACUUCACCGGAUUGGUGCCCACCACUAUUGGCAAACUUACCCAGCUCUCGUCGUUGAAUCUUGAAAAGAAUCAACUCCAAGCACAUAGCAGGGAAGAAUGGGAGUUUUUGGACAGCUUAGGCAAUUCCACGGACCUACAGAUGUUCUCCGUUAGUCGGAAUCGCCUAUCAGGGCAUGUCCCAAAUUCAUUAGGUAACCUUUCCAAUCAACUCCUGGAGAUAUACUUGGCAGAAAAUCAACUAUCAGGGGAUUUUCCUUCCGGCAUAGCAAACCUUCGCAACUUGUUUAUUCUAACAUUGGGGAUGAAUCAAUUUACAGGUGUGGUUACGGAGUGGAUUGGAUCUGUCAAGAUUUUGCAGCAAUUAGUUUUAGAAGCAAACUUCUUUACGGGGGUCAUUCCGUCAUCCUUGUCAAACUUGUCUCAAUUGGGAGAGCUCUAUCUAUCCUCGAACCACUUCAUUGGUCACAUACCAGCAAGCUUUGGAAACUUUUCGACGCUUCAAAAUUUGGACAUUUCCAACAACAAUCUUCAUGGUAGGGUUCCUUUGGAGAUCUUUAAAAUCCCAACAAUAUUUCAGAUUGAUUUUUCUUUCAACAAUCUAGAUGGCCAACUUCCUACCGACAUUGGCAAUGCCAAACAACUCGUACAUUUGGUACUUUCAUCAAACAAACUAUCUGGUGAUAUUCCCAAAACUCUGGGUGAUUGUGAAAGUUUAGAAGACAUUGAGUUAGACUCAAAUAUUUUUGGUGGCAGUAUUCCCUCUUCAUUAGACCACAUAACCAGCCUCAAAUUUUUGAACUGUUCUAGCAAUAACUUAACUGGGUCAAUACCACUAUCUCUUGGCAACCUACAACAUCUUGAGAAACUAGAUUUGUCAUUCAACCAUCUUCAAGGCGAGGUUCCAGCAAAAGGGAUAUUCAAGAAUGCAACUGCCAUUCGGAUUGAGGGGAACCAGGGACUGUGUGGUGGGCCAUCAGAGUUACUCAUGCAAGCAUGCGUUGUUACGCCUUCAAAUUCAACUAGAAACAAUGAAUCUUUAGUGCUCAAAGUAGUUAUCCCAAUAAUCAGUAUGGUUUUACUUGGUAUGGUCAUAUUUGGCAUAUUGAUAUGGAGAGGAAAGCAUAAGAGCAAAUCUAUAUCUGUACCAUCAUUUGCUACAAAAUUUCCCAAGAUUUCUUUUAGUGAUCUAGCCAGAGCGACAGAGGGAUUCUCAACGUGCAACUUAAUUGGCUGCGGGAGAUACAGUUCUGUAUAUCGAGGAAAUCUAGUUGAAGAUGAAAUUGAGGUUGCCAUAAAAGUCUUCAACUUAGAGACAAGAGGAGCACACAAGAGCUUCAUUGCAGAAUGUAAUGUGUUGAGAAAUGUGCGGCAUCGUAAUCUGGUCCCUAUCCUAACUGCGUGCUCAAGCAUUGAUUCUACUGGUAAUGAUUUCAAGGCCCUGGUGUAUGAGUUCAUGCCACGCGGAGACUUACAUAAUCUGUUAUAUUCAACUAUAGACUAUGAAGGCUCUUCAGAUUUGGACCUUCUUACAAUGAGUCAAAGGAUGUGCAUCGUGGUGGAUGUAGCGGAUGCAAUGGAGUACCUACACCAGAACAACCAAGGAACAGCGGUUCAUUGUGAUCUGAAGCCUAGCAACAUUCUAUUGGAUGACAAUAUGACAGCUCAUGUUGGAGACUUUGGCUUAGUAAGAUUCAAAGUUGGUUCCGCGACGUCAUCUCUUGCUAACCCAAGCUCUUCUUCGGUUGGACUAAUGGGAACGAUCGGAUAUGCUGCUCCAGAAUACGCAGGCGGUGGUCAAGUUUCAACUGCCGCGGAUGUUUACAGCUUUGGUGUCGUCCUUCUCGAAAUAUUCCUUCGGAGAAGGCCAACUGAUGACAUGUUUAAGGAUGGACUGAGCAUUGUGAAGUUAACAGAGAUCAGCUUCCCUGAUAGGGUAAUGGAGAUUGUCGAUCCUCAGCUCGUACAAGAGUUGGAGCUUUGCCAAGAAACUCCAACAGCUUUGAAGGAAAAAGGUGUACGCUCUCUGCUAUCUAUGCUAAACGUUGGCCUUUCUUGCACGAAGCCUUCUCCGCAUGAACGCACCAACAUGCACGAGGUGGUUGCCAAGCUACCUGAAUAA